UUACAAGUUAAGAUAAAGAGAGAAGUGCAACAUCAUAUUCUUGAAAAGGAGCGAGGUCUUCAUUCAGUUAGCGGAACUGUCACCUCCCCGGCUUUCCAGCUUCGCGCCUUCGGACAGGAUCACAGACUAUACAUAGAGGCAUGCAUGGUGACGGUGAAACUUUGAACGGUGAAACUUUGAAGGUCCAGCUAAAAAUGCGGUGCUAUAGAAGCAGGAGAAAUUUUAGGUACUUGAGAGAUAAUUAAUUCUCCAUUGAAGCUGUUUUGGUG
Molecule: long non-coding RNA, 269 nt
Organism: Zingiber officinale
Lineage: Eukaryota; Viridiplantae; Streptophyta; Magnoliopsida; Zingiberales; Zingiberaceae
Exons: 3
Source: RefSeq, a predicted model, not a curated record